AGAGUUUGAUCAUGGCUCAGGAUGAACGCUGGCGGUAUGCUUAACACAUGCAAGUCGAACGAAAGUUUUUAACUUUAGUGGCGAACGGGUGCGUAAUACGUGAGAAUCUACCCUUAAGAGGAGUAUAACUGUUGGAAACGGCUGCUAAAACUCCAUAUGUCGAGAGAUGAAAUAACUUUGUUGCUUAAGGAUGAGCUCGCGCCUGAUUAGCUAGUUGGUAAGGUAAUGGCUUACCAAGGCCACGAUCAGUAGCUGGUUUGAGAGAACGAUCAGCCACACUGGGACUGAGACACGGCCCAGACUCCUCCGGGAGGCAGCAGUGAGGAAUUUUCCGCAAUGGGCGAAAGCCUGACGGAGCAAUACCGCGUGAGGGAUGAAGGAUUUUGGUCUGUAAACCUCUUUUCUCAAGAAAGAAGUUCUGACGGUACUUGAGGAAUAAGCAUCGGCUAACUCCGUGCCAGCAGCCGCGGUAAUACGGGGGAUGCAAGCGUUAUCCGGAAUCAUUGGGCGUAAAGCGCCUGUAGGUUGUUUAAUAAGUCUGUUGUUAAAGACUAGGGCUUAACCCUAGAAAAGCAAUGGAAACUACUAGACUAGAGUAUGGCAGGGGUAGAGGGAAUUUCUAGUGUAGCGGUGAAAUGCGUAGAUAUUAGAAAGAACACCGGCGGCGAAAGCGCUCUACUGGACCAUUACUGACACUCAGAGGCGAAAGCUAGGGUAGCAAAAGGGAUUAGAUACCCCUGUAGUCCUAGCCGUAAACGAUGGAUACUAGAUGUUGCGUGUAAUGUGCAGUAUCUUAGCUAACGCGUUAAGUAUCCCGCCUGGGGAGUACGCUCGCAAGGGUGAAACUCAAAGGAAUUGACGGGGGCCCGCACAAGCGGUGGAGCAU
This 886-nucleotide ribosomal RNA is filed under the name uncultured bacterium. Its description in RNAcentral is "bacterial SSU rRNA". It matches the Rfam family "Bacterial small subunit ribosomal RNA", at positions 8 to 940 of the family's 1533-position model. The record is from RNAcentral.